AUGGCUUCUUGGCCUGUUGGCUAAGAUCAAGCAUAGAACCCGUACCUGUAUUAAAUGGGUUUUGGGAGCAGGGAGAUGGAAGAAGAGCUUGCUCUAUCUACUCCACACGUUUACCUGGUAUUGAUGUAUAUUUU
This 134-nucleotide small nuclear RNA is filed under the name Suricata suricatta (meerkat). Its description in RNAcentral is "U2 spliceosomal RNA (ENSSSUG00005011952.1)". It matches the Rfam family "U2 spliceosomal RNA". From Rfam's summary of the family: U2 is a small nuclear RNA (snRNA) component of the spliceosome (involved in pre-mRNA splicing). Complementary binding between U2 snRNA (in an area lying towards the 5' end but 3' to hairpin I) and the branchpoint sequence (BPS) of the intron results the bulging out of an unpaired adenosine, on the BPS, which initiates a nucleophilic attack at the intronic 5' splice site, thus starting the first of two transesterification reactions that mediate splicing. The record is from Rfam by way of RNAcentral. Lineage: Eukaryota; Metazoa; Chordata; Mammalia; Carnivora; Herpestidae.